This 591-nucleotide ribosomal RNA is filed under the name uncultured organism. RNAcentral describes it as "SSU rRNA". It matches the Rfam family "Bacterial small subunit ribosomal RNA", at positions 874 to 1453 of the family's 1533-position model. The record is from RNAcentral.
CAUAUGGGGAGUAGGUUAACAAGAAUGAAACUCAAUGGAAUUGAUGGGGACCCGCACAAGCGGUGGAGCAUCUGGUAUUAUUCGAAGCAAUGCGAAGAACCUUACCUGGUCGUGACAUGCCUCUUAGCGAUCUGUAAUUGUAGCUUUCGAUCGGGACAGAGGAGACAGGUGGCGCUUGGUCGUUGUCAGUUCUUGUAGAGAGAAGUUGGGUUAUGUGCAGCAACGAGCGCAACCCCUAUCUUUAGUAGCUCCAGCAGUUGCGGAUGGGCACUGAUAGAGAGCCUACCAGGGAUAACCUGGAGGAAGGUGGGGAUGUACUGUCAAAUCAUCAUGGCCCCUCAUGACCAGGGCUACACACGUGAUACAAUGGUGUAAACAAAGGGAAGUGCAGCCCGCGAGGGGGAGCAAAUCGCAAAAAUAAGUAGUCAGUCAGAAUCGCAGUCUGCACAUCGAUCACACGAAGCUGGAAUCGAUAGUAAUCGAGAAUCAGAAUGCCGCGGUGAAUACGUUCCCGGGUCCAGUACACACCGCCCGUCACCCCAUGGGAGUCAGUAACCCCGGAAGUCAGUGACCCAACUGCAAGGAGGGAGC